Podarcis muralis (Common wall lizard) is the source of this 1066-nucleotide non-coding RNA. The record is from RefSeq and is a predicted model, not a curated record. NCBI's taxonomy places the organism in Eukaryota, Metazoa, Chordata, Lepidosauria, Squamata, Lacertidae.
AACAGACAUGUGACACGUAACACUCCCAUGUCUGUUCCUUAAGGUGGAAUGGAAAUGUCAACAUCAAGAUGCAAAGAGUCAGACGGCUAGAUCCGACCCAAGGUCCAUCUGGGCCAGUGGCUAGAAAUCCAACCCCUCCCCCAGUGACCACCCCGUUUUGUGGGGGCCAAUGAAGGAAGCAGGGUGCUGGGCUGGGGGGCAGUUGUCAGCUGGAGGGGCACCUUCCCUGGGGAGCCACAUUCUGGGGGAAGGAGGCCGGGAUUGGCCCCCCAAGGCCUGGGGUGUCCCUCCCCUGUAGUAGGACUUGGAAUCCAGGAGAAAACUCUUGGAAUAGCCUUGCCAGGGGCUCAGGGAUGGACUCACCUCUUCCCAUGUCUUUUUCUUUGCAGUUCUGCUGCGGUUCCGCAUCCGUGCCCCAGGGCUGCUGGAGGAUGGACAGCGGUACCUCCUGGGGGUGAUCCAAGAGUGCCAGGCAGCUGAGCUCAGGGGGCUCCGAACCCUGAAGUGCUCCAAGCAGGAGACGGCCCAAGCCAUUCUGGGCAUCUUUGGCCACCUGGAGCGCUUCAGGGAUCACCCCCUGAGCCUGGCUCUGGACUUGGAGGCCCUCAUCCAGCUGAGCAUCAUGAGAUGAUCAGUGCCAUCCUCCACGGGACCCGGGAGGCUGUUAUUGGGGGCCCACAAUAGGAGGACAGAGAGGAACUGAAGCGGCACUUCCGGCUCCUGCUGGGGAGUCUCCUGAUGGAAGCCCCCAAUCAUGGCACCCUCCUCCAGCUGCUCAGUGACCUCCGAGGAUACGCCCUUGGCGAAACUGGGGAGGCUCAAACACUUGCGGCUGGCAGCAUUUCUCUGCUUCUGGCCGUGGCGUGGAGAUUCCCCCAACUCAGAGUGACAGUAAUUCGGCCAGACCUGGCCUGCUUCUGGCAGUGACCCAAAGAAGAUGACAUCAUCCUUGAAGACUUGUAGUCAGGGCAGACCUCUUGCAGAAGGUGUUACAGAAAAAUCUAGGUGCGAGGCUGCUCAGUCGCCCAGCUGGUCGGGCAGAGCCGGCGGUUCCUUGCGGAAUAAA